AGUGGUGGAUAUGUGAGAGAAAAAAAAAAAGAGAGAGAAAAAGCUGGUGAAUGCAAGAGUUAACAAGUAUCAUCAUUCUCUCAUCUCUUUCCCCAGUAAACACAGUAACACACUUUUAUUCUUAAUCUCCCUCCAACAACUUCAUUCUUUUGCAAGGAGAGAACAAAGACACACUCACACUAGAUUUGACACUUAGGGUCUGUAUUACAAGUCCAAUCCGAGAAGUUUUGGGUCCCUACAAAGGUCGGUUUAGGGUCUGUAUUAUAAGUCCAAUCCAAGAAGUUUUGGGUCCCUACAAAGGUCGGUUUAGGGUCUGUAUUACAAGUCCAAUCCAAGAAGUUUUGGGUCCCUACAAAGGUCGGUUUAGGGUCUGUAUUACAAGUCCAAUCCAAGAAGUUUUGGGUCCCUACAAAGGUCGGUUUAGGGUCUGUAUUAUAAGUCCAAUCCGAGAAGUUUUGGGUCCCUACAAAGGUCGGUUUAGGGUCUGUAUUAUAAGUCCAAUCCAAGAAGUUUUGGGUCCCUACAAAGGUCGGUUUAGGGUCUGUAUUAUAAGUCCAAUCCGAGAAGUUUUGGGUCCCUACAAAGGUCAGUUUAGGGGCUGUAUUAGAAGUCCAAUCCCAAAAGUUUUGGGUCCC
Eriocheir sinensis (Chinese mitten crab) is the source of this 635-nucleotide long non-coding RNA. RefSeq lists it as uncharacterized. The transcript has 3 exons. The record is from RefSeq and is a predicted model, not a curated record. NCBI's taxonomy places the organism in Eukaryota, Metazoa, Arthropoda, Malacostraca, Decapoda, Varunidae.